RNAcentral lists this ribosomal RNA (556 nucleotides) under uncultured bacterium. RNAcentral's name for it is "bacterial SSU rRNA". It matches the Rfam family "Bacterial small subunit ribosomal RNA", at positions 8 to 572 of the family's 1533-position model. The record is from RNAcentral.
AGAGUUUGAUCCUGGCUCAGGAUGAACGCUAGCGGCAGGCCUAAUACAUGCAAGUCGAACGGUGAUAGCAAUAUCAUAGUGGCGCACGGGUGCGUAACACGUAUGCAACCUACCUAUUAUUGGGGGAUAGCCUUUGGAAACGGAGAUUAAUACCGCAUAAUACGAUUGACUGGCAUCGGUUGAUUGUUAAAGCUUAGGCGAUAAUAGAUGGGCAUGCGUCCAAUUAGUUAGUUGGUUAGGUAACGGCUGACCAAGACGAUGAUUGGUAGGGGAUCUGAGAGGAUAAUCCCCCACACUGGCACUGAGAUACGGGCCAGACUCCUACGGGAGGCAGCAGUAGGGAAUAUUGGGCAAUGGGCGGAAGCCUGACCCAGCCAUGCCGCGUGCAGGAAGAAGGCGUUAUGCGUUGUAAACUGCUUUUUUAUAGGAAGAAGGAUCCCUUGCGAGGGAAGGUGACGGUACUACAAGAAUAAGCACCGGCUAACUCCGUGCCAGCAGCCGCGGUAAUACGGAGGGUGCAAGCGUUGUCCGGAUUUAUUGGGUUUAAAGGGUGCGU